GAUGAACGCUGGCGGCGCGCCUAACACAUGCAAGUCGAACGGCACCUGCCUUCGGGCAGAAGCGAGUGGCGAACGGCUGAGUAACACGUGGAGAACCUGCCCCCUCCCCCGGGAUAGCCGCCCGAAAGGACGGGUAAUACCGGAUACCCCGGGGUGCCGCAUGGCACCCCGGCUAAAGCCCCGACGGGAGGGGAUGGCUCCGCGGCCCAUCAGGUAGACGGCGGGGUGACGGCCCACCGUGCCGACAACGGGUAGCCGGGUUGAGAGACCGACCGGCCAGAUUGGGACUGAGACACGGCCCAGACUCCUACGGGAGGCAGCAGUGGGGAAUCUUGCGCAAUGGGGGGAACCCUGACGCAGCGACGCCGCGUGCGGGACGGAGGCCUUCGGGUCGUAAACCGCUUUCAGCAGGGAAGAGUCAAGACUGUACC
Molecule: ribosomal RNA, 431 nt
Filed under: uncultured bacterium
Lineage: Bacteria
Description: bacterial SSU rRNA
Rfam family: Bacterial small subunit ribosomal RNA
Source: RNAcentral